UACAGAGGUCUCAAGCGUUGUUCGGAUUCAUUGGGCGUAAAGGGUGCGUAGGCGGCGCGGUAAGUCGGGUGUGAAAUCUCGGGGCUUAACUCCGAAACUGCAUUCGAUACUGCCGUGCUUGAGGACUGGAGAGGAGACUGGAAUUUACGGUGUAGCGGUGAAAUGCGUAGAUAUCGUAAGGAACACCGGUGGCGAAGGCGGCUUGCUGGGCCAGUUCUGACGCUGAGGAGCGAAAGCGUGGGGAGCGAACAGG
This 253-nucleotide ribosomal RNA is filed under the name uncultured bacterium. Its description in RNAcentral is "partial 16S ribosomal RNA". It matches the Rfam family "Bacterial small subunit ribosomal RNA", at positions 524 to 776 of the family's 1533-position model. The record is from RNAcentral.